UGGGAGCUUGCUCCCUGAUGUUAGCGGCGGACGGGUGAGUAACACGUGGGUAACCUGCCUGUAAGACUGGGAUAACUCCGGGAAACCGGGGCUAAUACCGGAUGGUUGUUUGAACCGCAUGGUUCAGACAUAAAAGGUGGCUUCGGCUACCACUUACAGAUGGACCCGCGGCGCAUUAGCUAGUUGGUGAGGUAACGGCUCACCAAGGCAACGAUGCGUAGCCGACCUGAGAGGGUGAUCGGCCACACUGGGACUGAGACACGGCCCAGACUCCUACGGGAGGCAGCAGUAGGGAAUCUUCCGCAAUGGACGAAAGUCUGACGGAGCAACGCCGCGUGAGUGAUGAAGGUUUUCGGAUCGUAAAGCUCUGUUGUUAGGGAAGAACAAGUGCCGUUCAAAUAGGGCGGCACCUUGACGGUACCUAACCAGAAAGCCACGGCUAACUACGUGCCAGCAGCCGCGGUAAUACGUAGGUGGCAAGCGUUGUCCGGAAUUAUUGGGCGUAAAGGGCUCGCAGGCGGUUUCUUAAGUCUGAUGUGAAAGCCCCCGGCUCAACCGGGGAGGGUCAUUGGAAACUGGGGAACUUGAGUGCAGAAGAGGAGAGUGGAAUUCCACGUGUAGCGGUGAAAUGCGUAG
RNAcentral lists this ribosomal RNA (636 nucleotides) under Bacillus amyloliquefaciens. Its description in RNAcentral is "bacterial SSU rRNA". It matches the Rfam family "Bacterial small subunit ribosomal RNA", at positions 73 to 693 of the family's 1533-position model. Lineage: Bacteria; Bacillati; Bacillota; Bacilli; Caryophanales; Bacillaceae. The record is from RNAcentral.